CAGCAAAGUCGUCAAAUUGAAAUGGCGAACACUUUGGAUAAAGGUUGGCAAUAAUAGUUCUGCAAUUUUCCGUCCCUCUCAAUUUUUUUCUGUUUGAAGAUGGCCUCGAACAAAUUGCUACAUU
Phoenix dactylifera (date palm) is the source of this 124-nucleotide small nucleolar RNA. The record is from RefSeq and is a predicted model, not a curated record. Lineage: Eukaryota; Viridiplantae; Streptophyta; Magnoliopsida; Arecales; Arecaceae.